GAUGAACGCUGGCGGCGUGCCUAAUACAUGCAAGUCGAGCGAACGGACGAGAAGCUUGCUUCUCUGAUGUUAGCGGCGGACGGGUGAGUAACACGUGGAAAACCUACCUAUAAGACUGGGAUAACUUCGGGAAACCGGAGCUAAUACCGGAUAAUAUUUUGAACCGCAUGGUUCAAAAGUGAAAGACGGUCUUGCUGUCACUUAUAGAUGGAUCCGCGCUGCAUUAGCUAGUUGGUAAGGUAACGGCUUACCAAGGCAACGAUGCAUAGCCGACCUGAGAGGGUGAUCGGCCACACUGGAACUGAGACACGGUCCAGACUCCUACGGGAGGCAGCAGUAGGGAAUCUUCCGCAAUGGGCGAAAGCCUGACGGAGCAACGCCGCGUGAGUGAUGAAGGUCUUCGGAUCGUAAAACUCUGUUAUUAGGGAAGAACAUAUGUGUAAGUAACUGUGCACAUCUUGACGGUACCUACUCAGAAAGCCACGGCUAACUACGUG
This 497-nucleotide ribosomal RNA is filed under the name uncultured bacterium. RNAcentral describes it as "partial 16S ribosomal RNA". It matches the Rfam family "Bacterial small subunit ribosomal RNA", at positions 28 to 507 of the family's 1533-position model. The record is from RNAcentral.